GCGGGGGUGCCGGAGUGGUCAAACGGGCUGGACUCAAGAUCCAGUGUGCUUAGUGCCUACCUAGGUUCGAAUCCUAGUCCCCGCA
Molecule: non-coding RNA, 85 nt
Organism: Candidatus Pacearchaeota archaeon CG1_02_32_132
Lineage: Archaea; Nanobdellati
Source: Rfam